This 430-nucleotide ribosomal RNA is filed under the name Bacteroidota bacterium. RNAcentral describes it as "Bacteroidetes bacterium partial 16S ribosomal RNA". It matches the Rfam family "Bacterial small subunit ribosomal RNA", at positions 355 to 776 of the family's 1533-position model. The record is from RNAcentral. Lineage: Bacteria; Pseudomonadati; Bacteroidota.
UAGGGAAUCUUCGGCAAUGGGGGGAACCCUGACCGAGCAACGCCGCGUGAGUGAAGAAGGUUUUCGGAUCGUAAAGCUCUGUUGUUAAGGAAGAACGAGUGUGAGAAUGGAAAGUUCAUACUGUGACGGUACUUAACCAGAAAGGGACGGCUAACUACGUGCCAGCAGCCGCGGUAAUACGUAGGUCCCGAGCGUUGUCCGGAUUUAUUGGGCGUAAAGCGAGCGCAGGCGGUCAAUUAAGUCUGAUGUGAAAGCCCCCGGCUCAACCGGGGAGGGUCAUUGGAAACUGGUUGACUUGAGUGCAGAAGGGGAGAGUGGAAUUCCAUGUGUAGCGGUGAAAUGCGUAGAUAUAUGGAGGAACACCAGUGGCGAAGGCGACUCUCUGGUCUGUAACUGACGCUGGGGUUCGAAAGCGUGGGUAGCAAACAGG